This 512-nucleotide ribosomal RNA is filed under the name uncultured Flavobacteriales bacterium. Its description in RNAcentral is "bacterial SSU rRNA". It matches the Rfam family "Bacterial small subunit ribosomal RNA", at positions 8 to 512 of the family's 1533-position model. Lineage: Bacteria; Pseudomonadati; Bacteroidota; Flavobacteriia; Flavobacteriales. The record is from RNAcentral.
AGACUUUGAUCCUGGCUCAGGAUGAACGCUAGCGGCAGGCUUAACACAUGCAAGUCGAACGGUAACAGGGAAAGCUUGCUUUCCGCUGACGAGUGGCGCACGGGUGCGUAACGCGUAUGCAACUUGCCCUUAACUGGAGAAUAGCUCCCGGAAACGGGAAUUAAUACUCCAUAGUACCAAGAGGUGGCAUCACCAUUUGGUUAAAGCUCCGGCGGUUAAGGAUAGGCAUGCGUCCCAUUAGCUAGUUGGUGAGGUAACGGCUCACCAAGGCUACGAUGGGUAGGGGGCCUGAGAGGGUGAUCCCCCACACUGGUACUGAGACACGGACCAGACUCCUACGGGAGGCAGCAGUGAGGAAUAUUGGUCAAUGGACGAAAGUCUGAACCAGCCAUGCCGCGUGCAGGAUGACUGCCCUAUGGGUUGUAAACUGCUUUUCUUCGGGAAGAAACCCCCUGACGUGUUAGGGGCUGACGGUACCGUAAGGAAUAGCACCGGCGUACAUCCGGUCUUGC